This 395-nucleotide ribosomal RNA is filed under the name uncultured bacterium. Its description in RNAcentral is "bacterial SSU rRNA". It matches the Rfam family "Bacterial small subunit ribosomal RNA", at positions 28 to 419 of the family's 1533-position model. The record is from RNAcentral.
GACGAACGCUGGCGGCGUGCUUAACACAUGCAAGUCGUGCGGAAAGGCCCCUUUUUGGGGUGCUCGAGCGGCGAACGGGUGAGUAACACGUGAGUAACCUGCCCUGCGCUUGGGGAUAACCCUCGGAAACGGGGGCUAAUACCGGAUGGUCACAUGCUGUCGCAUGGUGGUGUGUGGAAAGGAUUUCGGUUUGGCGUGGGAUGGGCUCGCGGCCUAUCAGCUUGUUGGUGGGGUAAUGGCCUACCAAGGCGACGACGGGUAGCCGGCCUGAGAGGGCGACCGGCCACACUGGGACUGAGACACGGCCCAGACUCCUACGGGAGGCAGCAGUGGGGAAUAUUGCGCAAUGGGCGAAAGCCUGACGCAGCGACGCCGCGUGAGGGAUGAAGGCCUUC